RNAcentral lists this transfer RNA (72 nucleotides) under Strigocuscus celebensis (little Celebes cuscus). Its description in RNAcentral is "tRNA-Asn". It matches the Rfam family "tRNA". Rfam says of the family: Transfer RNA (tRNA) molecules are approximately 80 nucleotides in length. Their secondary structure includes four short double-helical elements and three loops (D, anti-codon, and T loops). Further hydrogen bonds mediate the characteristic L-shaped molecular structure. tRNAs have two regions of fundamental functional importance: the anti-codon, which is responsible for specific mRNA codon recognition, and the 3' end, to which the tRNAs corresponding amino acid is attached (by aminoacyl-tRNA synthetases). tRNAs cope with the degeneracy of the genetic code in two manners: having more than one tRNA (with a specific anti-codon) for a particular amino acid; and 'wobble' base-pairing, i.e. permitting non-standard base-pairing at the 3rd anti-codon position. The record is from RNAcentral. Lineage: Eukaryota; Metazoa; Chordata; Mammalia; Diprotodontia; Phalangeridae.
UAAAUUGAGGCCGAAUAUCUAGGCGCUUAGCUGUUAACUAAGAGAUAGUGGGAUAAAGGCCCAUCAAUUUAG